GAGUCGGUGAUCGAUCGGUCGUCUGUGCUGGUGGCAACACAUGUGCACGUCGAUCGUCAUUCCAUUCUCCUUUCAAUCGUCCAAGUGUGUGUUUGGUCGACCUCGGUCGAAGAGUUGUGGCCCUUGGCCUUGAUUCAUUCCAGAUGCGCCUUGGUUAUUUCACCCACUCUGGGUAUUUGAAACGAAGAACAAUCUGUAUAAACUAUACAACUUUCAACAACGGAUCUCUUGGCUCUCGCAUCGAUGAAGAACGCAGCGAAAUGCGAUAAGUAAUGUGAAUUGCAGAAUUCAGUGAAUCAUCGAAUCUUUGAACGCACCUUGCACCCUUUGGUAUUCCGAAGGGUACGCCCGUUUGAGUGUCAUUGUACUCUCAACCCCACGACUUUUGUUGUGUGGGUUGGACUUGGGUCCCGUCGCUAUUUGCGACCGAUCCGAAAUGUAUCAGCGUGUGUCCGUCGUGACGAUAAACCGAUUGUUAAGUUUCAUCGGGCUCGCUCUGUCGAGGUUGUCCGGCGAAAGCACAUGCCAAACCCCUUUACUUUUGACCAAUUGACCUCCAAACCGGGGGGAACCCCCCCUGGACUUAAACCUAUCCAUUAGCCCGAAGAAAAAU
RNAcentral lists this ribosomal RNA (613 nucleotides) under Sebacinales sp. 53. RNAcentral describes it as "eukaryotic LSU rRNA". The stretch from base 209 to 362 matches the Rfam family "5.8S ribosomal RNA". Lineage: Eukaryota; Fungi; Basidiomycota; Agaricomycetes; Sebacinales. The record is from RNAcentral.